This 75-nucleotide transfer RNA is filed under the name Candidatus Woesearchaeota archaeon. RNAcentral's name for it is "tRNA-Ile". It matches the Rfam family "tRNA". From Rfam's summary of the family: Transfer RNA (tRNA) molecules are approximately 80 nucleotides in length. Their secondary structure includes four short double-helical elements and three loops (D, anti-codon, and T loops). Lineage: Archaea; Nanobdellati; Candidatus Woesearchaeota. The record is from RNAcentral.
GGCCCUGUUGCUUAGCCUGGUUAGAGCGCCGGUCUUAUAAGCCGGAGGUCGGGAGUUCAAAUCUCCUCAGGGCCA